RNAcentral lists this ribosomal RNA (435 nucleotides) under uncultured bacterium. RNAcentral describes it as "partial 16S ribosomal RNA". It matches the Rfam family "Bacterial small subunit ribosomal RNA", at positions 28 to 507 of the family's 1533-position model. The record is from RNAcentral.
GAUGAACGCUGGCGGUAUGCUUAACACAUGCAAGUCGAACGGACUCUUCGGAGUUUGUGGCGGACGGGUGAGUAACGCGUGGGAAUCUGGCCUUGGGUUCGGGACAACUACUGGAAACGGUUGCUAAUACCGGAUGUGCCGAGAGGUAAAAGAGAAAUUGCCUGAAGAUGAGCUCGCGUCUGAUUAGCUAGUUGGUGUGGUAAAGGCUCACCAAGGCAGCGAUCAGUAGCUGGUCUGAGAGGAUGACCAGCCACACUGGGACUGAGACACGGCCCAGACUCCUACGGGAGGCAGCAGUGGGGAAUUUUCCGCAAUGGGCGAGAGCCUGGCGGAGCAAUACCGCGUGAGGGAAGCAGGCUCUUGGGUAGUAAACCUCUUUUCUUAGGGAAGAACAAAAUGACGGUACCUAAGGAAUCAGCAUCGGCUAACUCCGUG